This 472-nucleotide ribosomal RNA is filed under the name uncultured bacterium. RNAcentral's name for it is "bacterial SSU rRNA". It matches the Rfam family "Bacterial small subunit ribosomal RNA", at positions 355 to 825 of the family's 1533-position model. The record is from RNAcentral.
UGGGGAAUAUUGGACAAUGGGCGAAAGCCUGAUCCAGCCAUGCCGCGUGUGUGAAGAAGGUCUUCGGAUUGUAAAGCACUUUAAGUUGGGAGGAAGGGCAUUUACCUAAUACGUAAGUGUUUUGACGUUACCGACAGAAUAAGCACCGGCUAACUCUGUGCCAGCAGCCGCGGUAAUACAGAGGGUGCAAGCGUUAAUCGGAAUUACUGGGCGUAAAGCGCGCGUAGGUGGUUUGUUAAGUUGGAUGUGAAAUCCUCGGGCUCAACCUGGGAACUGCAUUCAAAACUGACAAGCUAGAGUAUGGUAGAGGGUGGUGGAAUUUCCUGUGUAGCGGUGAAAUGCGUAGAUAUAGGAAGGAACACCAGUGGCGAAGGCGACCACCUGGACUGAUACUGACACUGAGGUGCGAAAGCGUGGGGAGCAAACAGGAUUAGAUACCCAUGUAGUCCCUGAGCGGGCUGGCAAGGCGCAU